RNAcentral lists this ribosomal RNA (340 nucleotides) under uncultured eukaryote. RNAcentral's name for it is "partial 18S ribosomal RNA". It matches the Rfam family "Eukaryotic small subunit ribosomal RNA", at positions 1470 to 1796 of the family's 1831-position model. The record is from RNAcentral.
CCCUUAGAUGUUCGGGGCCGCACGCGCGCUACACUGAAGGACUCAGCGUGUCUCUCCCCCUAUCCCGAAAGGGAUGGGCAACCCGUUGAACCUCCUUCGUGCUAGGGAUUGGGGUUUGCAAUUAUCCCCCAUGAACGAGGAAUUCCCAGUAAGCGCGAGUCAUCAGCUCGCGUUGAUUACGUCCCUGCCCUUUGUACACACCGCCCGUCGCUACUACCGAUUGGAUGGUUUAGUGAGACCCUCGGAUCGGUCCCGACUCGGGGUGGGCUUCUGCCCCGGUCGUGGUUUCGCCGAGAAGACGGUCAAACUUGACUAUCUAGAGGAAGCAAAAGUCGUAACA